GCCUCUGUUUGUCGGUGCCGCGAGGAAACGUCGGUACCGGAGAGUCUGGACGUUAAAACUAACGGCGGAGCAGUGAGACUGGACGCUGAACACACCUGCUGCGUGAGGGUGUUUUCCAGGUGUUUUCCAGGUUCAGCUGCUGCAGCCUGGACACAAACACCAGAUCUCAUCUGACAAACAGGUGUCACCGCUUUGUCUACAGCAUAGUCCACGAUCACAGAAACGUCGUCCAUGAUCGCAGUGAGUCUUCCUACAGUGAAGAAGUUCUUUGAGACCAGGACAGAGGCCUCCAGGUGUCAUCACUUCAUGCACAACAUCAUCAACGAUCAGACACAUUGUCCAUGAUUGCUGAGACUUGUCAAAGAUGAGAGAGACAUUGUCCAUGAUCAGAGAAUAGUAUGGUGUCAAAACGGAUCAAAAAAUGGCACAGUAUAAUAAGGCGUCAAACAUUAGCAAAAAAUGUCACAGUAUAAUAUGGUGUCAAAAACAGUCAAAAAAUGUCAUAGUAUAGUAUGGCGUCAAAAAUGGUCAAAAAAUGUCAUAGUAUAGUGUGGUGUCAAAAAUUAGCAAAAAAUGUCAUAGUAUAGUAUGGCGUCAAAAAUCAUCAAAAAAUGUCAUAGUAUACUAUGGAGUCAAAAAUGGUUAAAAAAUGUCAUAGUAUAGUAUGGUGUCAAAAGUCAUCAAAAAAUGUCAUAGUAUAGUAUGGCGUCAAAAAUCAUCAAAAAAUGUCAUAGUAUAGUAUGGUGUCAAAAACGGUCAAAAAAUGUCAUAGUAUAGUAUGGCGUCAAAAAUCAUCAAAAAAUGUCAUAGUAUAGUAUGGCGUCAAAAAUCAUCAAAAAAUGUCAUAGUAUAGUAUGGCAUCAAAAAUCAUCAAAAAAUGUCAUAGUAUAGUAUGGCAUCAAAAAUCAUCAAAAAAUGUCAUAGUAUAGUAUGGUGUCAAAAACGGUCAAAAAAUGUCAUAGUAUAGUAUGGCGUCAAAAACGGUCAAAAAAUGUCAUAGUAUAGUAUGGCGUCAAAAACGGUCAAAAAAUGUCAUAGUAUAGUAUGGUGUCAAAAAUCAUCAAAAAAUGUCAUAGUAUAGUAUGGUGUCAAAAAUUAGCAAAAAAUGUCAUAGUAUAGUAAGGCGUCAAAAAUCAUCAAAAAAUGUCAUAGUAUAGUAUGGCGUCAAAAAUCAUCAAAAAAUUUCAUAGUAUAGUAUGGUGUCAAAAAUCAUCAAAAAAUGUCAUAGUAUAGUAUGGUGUCAAAAACGGUCAAAAAAUGUCAUAGUAUAGUGUGGCGUCAAAAAUUAGCAAAAAAUGUCAUAGUAUAGUAUGGCGUCAAAAAUUAGCAAAAAAUGUCAUAGUAUAGUAAGGCGUGAAAAGUCAUCAAAAAAUGUCA
Molecule: long non-coding RNA, 1377 nt
Organism: Lates calcarifer (barramundi perch)
Lineage: Eukaryota; Metazoa; Chordata; Actinopteri; Centropomidae
Exons: 7
Source: RefSeq, a predicted model, not a curated record